AUGGGAGCAACAUAUCCUCUCGUUUUCUUGAUCCUCUUACUUCUUCAUGGAACCAAGGCUGCUUCGGAUCCUCCAGUACCGGGAUGGCUGACUCUGAGUGGUCGUCGUCCUCUAGUCAUUGCUCGUGGGGGUUUGUCUGGGGUAGUGCCUGAGUCAAGCCAGCUUGCAUACAGCAUGGCAAUGGGAAGUAGCUUGUGUGAGGUGGUUCUGUUCUGCGACCUGCAAUUCUCUAGCGACGGUGUGGGCUUCUGCCAUGGCAGCUUGAGACUUGACAAUUCGUCAAAUAUUGCUGAGAAGUUCGCUGACAGGGGCUCGACUUAUCAAGUGAAUGGACGAGAUGUUCAAGGAUGGUUUUCUCUGGAUUUCAAAUCAGAGGAGCUACAUAGUGUCCUAUUGGUUCAGAAUGUUUUGUCUCGCUCAAAUACAUUUGACAGAACACAGGAACUGUUGUCGCUUGACAAUGUGGUUCAAAGCGUCUUGGCUCAAAAAGGCGAGCUUCAUGUAAUUUGGGUCAACAUAGAGUACAACUCGUUUUUUCUGGAGCACGGAUUAAGUGGCGAAGAUUACAUAUUGGGACUACCAAAAGAAUUUCCUGUCACUCGCGUCUCCUCACCAGAAUUUGCAUUCUUAAAAAGUCUCAGUGGAAAGGUCAGAAGUGAUAUAAAGUUGAUUUUCCGGUUUCUCCGUGAAGACCUUGUUGAGCCUACGACAAAGAGAACAUAUGGAGAACUUCUGAAAGACCUGAAAUCUAUCAAGGCCUUUGCAUCGGGGAUUCUUGUUCCCAAGCAAUUUAUUUGGCCACAGAAUAAGGAUAUGUACUUGGAGCCGUCUACCAGUUUGGUCAAAGAUGCACAUGCCCUAGGGCUGGAAGUGUACGCAUCUGGAUUUGCCAAUGAUGAUCCCUGUAUGAGUUACAACUACAGCUAUGAUCCCAGCGCGGAAAUCUUGCAGUUCAUAGACAAUUCAGACUUCUCGGUCGACGGCGUUUUAACAGACAAUCCACCUACCGCAUCAGGAGCCAUAGUGUGCAUGGCACAUACCAAGGGCAAUGCAUUCGUUUUUCCUAUUGCUAAAGAUGGAGCUCCUCCAGGAGUAGAAGCAAACGUCAGGCCACUGAUCAUAACCCACAAUGGUGCGAGUGGCGUCUUCUCAGACAGCACGGACCUUGCCUACCAACAAGCGGUGAAAGAUGGCGCGGACAUAAUAGAUUGCUGGGUCCGGAUGUCGAAAGACGGGGUCGCCUUCUGCCUGGGCUCUACAGAUCUCAACAGCAGCACGACAGCAGCCACAACUUUCUUGGAAAAAAUGACAACUGUCAAUGAGAUACAGAACAAGUCGGGCAUUUUCUCGUUUGAUCUCUUAUGGAGCGAGAUCCAAACCUUAAAACCCAACCUUGUCGGUCCAUUCGCAGACGCACGCCUGGAGAGAAAUCCUGCGGCGAAGAACGCUGGCAAAUUUAUGACACUGGCUGAGUUCCUUGAUUUUGCAAAAGCCAGCAACAUCACUGGUAUACUGAUUGGCAUAGAGCAUGCUACGUACCUUAUAGCCAGAAGCCUUGACGUGGUGGAUGCGGUCUCCAAAGCGCUUGUCAAGUCCGGGUACGACAAGGAGACCUGUAAGCAGCGCGUGCUCAUACAGUCAGAGGACGCCCCGGUGCUUGCGGCGUUCAAGACGUUCCCCAAGUUCCAGCGGGUGCUGACGAUCGAGUUCGACAUAAGCGACGCCUCCAAGCCUUCGGUGGAUGAGAUAUUAGAGUUUGCAAACGCGGUGAAGCUCAGGCGCAGCUCUGCCGCGCGGGUCAACGGCUUCUUCCUGGAGGGGUUCACCAAUUCCUUGGUCGACAGGCUGCAUGCCGGCAAUUUGCACGUGUAUGUCGGCGUCCUCAAGAAUGAGUUCAUGAACCUCGCGUUCGACUACUGGGCCGACCCCUUGGUGGAGAUCGCCACGGACACGUUGUCGGUGGGCGCCGACGGGAUCGUGACCGAGUUCCCUGCCACUGCAGCUGCAUACUUCAGGAGCCCAUGCGCCAACUACGAAAGAAAGGACCUUCCCUACAUGAUCGACCCCGCCACACCCGGCGGCUUGCUCCAGCUGGCUGCCACUGGCUCGGUCCCUCCGGCGCCCCCUCCGGCGCCGGUGCUCGAGCCCCAGGACAUCCUGCAACAGCAGCUGCCGGUGUGCCCCAACGACCCCAUGUUCCGGACCUUCCGCUGCCGCCUGGGGCCCAAGGAGACGCCGACGGGGAAACCUGAGUACAACAUCAAUAUGGCUAGCCUAGAUGACUAG
RNAcentral lists this ribosomal RNA (2286 nucleotides) under Triticum aestivum (bread wheat). RNAcentral describes it as "partial small subunit ribosomal RNA". Lineage: Eukaryota; Viridiplantae; Streptophyta; Magnoliopsida; Poales; Poaceae. The record is from RNAcentral.